Long non-coding RNA from Cyprinus carpio (common carp), 668 nucleotides. RefSeq lists it as uncharacterized. The record is from RefSeq and is a predicted model, not a curated record. The transcript has 6 exons. Lineage: Eukaryota; Metazoa; Chordata; Actinopteri; Cypriniformes; Cyprinidae.
ACAAUAAGUUUGUUAUUAGUAUUGCCCACAAAGGCUGAUGAGCAUGCGCAGUUCAAACACUUUUUUAUAUACAACGCCAUUUUCAUUUCUCCCGCUUCAUUUUCGAGUUUCCUCAAGCGGGGCCUGUUUAUUCCGUCAUGUUGAAAGCUCCGGUGACGGCAAGUUAGUCAGUUCAGUUUUCCCGCCUGCUCUUAUGAGUUGCCUCAGGUCAGACGUCGCCUAUUUUUUUCUUCUUGACAGUCUAAGUUAAUCUCUCCGAGUUGCCUCAGGCGGCGCCCGGUUCAUGUUGGUCCGUCAUUGUUAUCACUCCGGUGGCGGCAAGUUAGUCAUUUAAAUUUUCCUGCUUCGUCUUCGCGUUGCCUGAGAAGGGUCGAGUUGCUUCGGAUCAGACGAGCACCAGGUGGCUAGUUGGUCAGUUCAGCUUCUCCUGCUUCGUCUUCGAGCUGUCUUAAGUCAUUCAGUGGCAGUUUUUCCAGACAGUGUCGUGACUUAGGGUGAUGCAGUGCAAGAUAUGCAGAUUUGAACACCCUGCCCAGGAGGUCCUUUUGAAACAUGACCAAUUGUGCCAUUACCAGGGAAGAUACUGCCAACUACCCUGCCUCUACACAGAUUGCAUCUGCUCCUUUAAAACCAAUGGUUGAAGUCUCACCUUUUAAGAUCAAGUGCUU